GAUGAACGCUGGCGGCGUGCUUAACACAUGCAAGUCGAACGAUGAAGCCCAGCUUGCUGGGUGGAUUAGUGGCGAACGGGUGAGUAACACGUGAGUAACCUGCCCUUAACUCUGGGAUAAGCCUGGGAAACUGGAUCUAAUACCGGAUAGGAGCGUCCACCGCAUGGUGGGUGUUGGAAAGAUUUAUCGGUUUUGGAUGGACUCGCGGCCUAUCAGCUUGUUGGUGAGGUAAUGGCUCACCAAGGCGACGACGGGUAGCCGGCCUGAGAGGGUGACCGGCCACACUGGGACUGAGACACGGCCCAGACUCCUACGGGAGGCAGCAGUGGGGAAUAUUGCACAAUGGGCGAAAGCCUGAUGCAGCGACGCCGCGUGAGGGAUGACGGCCUUCGGGUUGUAAACCUCUUUCAGUAGGGAAGAAGCGAAAGUGACGGUACCUGCAGAAGAAGCACCGGCUAACUACGUG
RNAcentral lists this ribosomal RNA (466 nucleotides) under uncultured bacterium. RNAcentral's name for it is "partial 16S ribosomal RNA". It matches the Rfam family "Bacterial small subunit ribosomal RNA", at positions 28 to 507 of the family's 1533-position model. The record is from RNAcentral.